Molecule: small nuclear RNA, 18 nt
Filed under: Arabidopsis thaliana (thale cress)
Lineage: Eukaryota; Viridiplantae; Streptophyta; Magnoliopsida; Brassicales; Brassicaceae
Description: snRNA_07820
Source: RNAcentral
UUAGUGACGCGCAUGAAU